CGUUCCCGGGCCUUGUACACACCGCCCGUCACACCAUGGGAGUUGGUUUUACCUUAAGACGGUGCGCUAACCGCAAGGGGGCAGCCGGCCACGGUAAGGUCAGCGACUGGGGUG
Molecule: ribosomal RNA, 114 nt
Filed under: uncultured bacterium
Lineage: Bacteria
Description: partial 16S ribosomal RNA
Rfam family: Bacterial small subunit ribosomal RNA
Source: RNAcentral